Molecule: ribosomal RNA, 464 nt
Filed under: uncultured bacterium
Lineage: Bacteria
Description: bacterial SSU rRNA
Rfam family: Bacterial small subunit ribosomal RNA
Source: RNAcentral
GAUGAACGCUGGCGGCGUGCCUAAUACAUGCAAGUUGUGCGGUAACAGAGAGAGCUUGCUCUCUGCUGACGAGCGGCGGACGGCAGAGUAACGCGUAGGAACAUACCCCAAACUGAGGGAUAACUGCUCGAAAGAGUAGCUAAUACCGCAUGUGGUCUUCGGAUUAAAGCUUCGGCGGUUUGGGAGUGGCCUGCGUCCGAUUAGCUAGUUGGUGAGGUAAUUGCUCACCAAGGCGACGAUCGGUAGCUGGUCUGAGAGGAUGAUCAGCCUGACUGGAACUGAGAACGGUCCAGACUCCUACGGGAGGCAGCAGUAGGGAAUUUUCCACAAUGGGCGAAAGCCUGAUGGAGCAACGCCGCGUGCAGGAUGAAUGCCUUCGGGUUGUAAACUGCUUUUCUGUGUGAAGAAUAUGACGGUAACACAGGAAUAAGGGUCGGCUAACUACGUGCCAGCAGCCGCGGUAA